Non-coding RNA from Aegilops tauschii subsp. strangulata, 2129 nucleotides. NCBI's taxonomy places the organism in Eukaryota, Viridiplantae, Streptophyta, Magnoliopsida, Poales, Poaceae. The record is from RefSeq and is a predicted model, not a curated record.
UUUCAGGUUUGUGAUAUCAUAGAUUGCUAAUUGUAGCAAUAUUCAAACACCCAAAUGAAAAUUGUCAGAAGGAACUCGAGACAAUAAAUAGGCAGUAUCCAUUUGAACCUCUGAAGUACCUAGAGAAAACGUUGAAGCUAACGUACGAGGAAGGGAUUAAAAUGCUCAAGGAUUUUCGAUCCUAGCGGGAAAAGGAGGAAACGGCGGCGCCCUUGGGCGUCGUUAUCCUUCUUGAAGGCAUCUCGGAAGAGUUCAUCCACUCAUCUCUGGGGUGUGGGCAAGUUGGUGGUUCCAUUCUGGAAUCCUCUAGGCAGGGUGCUUGCAAUCCCCUACAUCUCGGCUGCAACAAAAAAGACCCAACGAGGUGCUAGAAGGAGAACUGGGUUGUGGUGGUGUUGCUGGUCGUUUUCCUUUUUACUUUUGCACUUUGGCCGUCAUAAACGACACAUGCUUGCUCCCCGGAUGGAUCUCUUUCUCUCCCUGGAUCUUUUAAACAGGUGUUGUGAUUAAAAUUGUGAUAAAUCAGUGUUCAUCACUAUUCUUUUUGGACUUGAAUAGAUCUAUGUCUAAAUUACACAUAAUGUGUAGGAGAAAAUUACUAUAGCUGGACUUUCAUGUCUUUCUUGAAUCCAUGGCAAAGCAUAGUCACCUUAACUAUGUUGCUUUGCACAUGUCUUCUCAUGGCCUUAUUAAAGAUCUUGUUUCCAUGGCUUUAAACACAGGAUGAUAUUUUUGUAGCAUAUUUCAUAUAAGUUUUCCUCCUAUAAGGCUAUAAUUUCAAAUUCAAGCCCACCCAACACACAAAGUUUCUAUCUUCUUAUUUUCUAUACAAGUAGUAGCUGGCGCAGCGGUGGUGUUGAUGAACGACACCCAAUGCAGAGGCGGCAGUUACCACAGGGAAGAGGUCAAGAACAUCUAGCUCUUGUGGUGUUCCUCCUCAUUGUUGUCAUCGCCAUCAACAGCAACAAUGACGACCGGCUCAUGAGACGGCUACUAGAGAGGGAGCGAGGAAGGGGGAGACAGAUCUUUCAGGUACAAUGGUACGACAACCAUGUUUUGAAAUAUCAAUGAGAUUUGGUGCUAAGUCAGCAUCGUGUUUUAUCCAAUCUAUCAAACACCAUAAGUUUCAUGUCGAAUGUGUUGUAGAAAUAUGUUCUUCCAUAAAUAUGGUUUUAGUCCUUCAUAUUUUAGUAUCGUUGUAAAUUUAUCCAUUCACAUAUCACUCUGAGAAACAUUUUUAAUUGGGGGAAGGAAGAAUGGAAGAAAAGAAGAGUGCUUUGACGUAAAAAAGAAGAAGUCGUCAAUAUAGCCCGUUGCAACGCACGGGCAUUCUACUAGGAGAUGCAAGUGAAGUGGAAUAAUGAAAAUACAUUGCAUCAAGUACAUUUCUCGAUUGUUACUGUAAAUUUUUUCUAUACAUGUGAAAUUGGAAGUGCAUUAUGCUUAUGUAUGCAAUCAGAAAAAAAAAAUUAAAAGGCCCGUGGCAACGCAUGGGCAUUGUACUAGGGAAACAAGACGAAUAGACAUGCAGACUAAGCUCCAUAUCCAAGGGAUUUUGGUAGUACAUGCCAUGUUUAUGCUCACUGUUGAAUAGUAUGUAUAUAACUAUUUAUGCAAUACUUAGACCAUAGGAGCAAUUCAUUCUGUAUAUUUUGCUGGGGAUUGUGCCUUGCAGUCAAUUUAUAGAAGGGUAAGAUGUAUCGCAAUAUGACUUGCAUUCUCUGUGAUGUCAAGUAAGAAAAUAGAAUAUAUACUCUUUGAAUUAUCUUUUCUUUUUUUCGAUGUCUCUAUCUUACUUCUAUAAUCCAAUUGGCAUUCGCUAGAGUUUCUGUUGAUGAAACAUUUGUUUUGUGAUGUGAGGAGGUUCUGUUUGUGACUUUGCAAUCAAUAUUCGUAGAUACGGUUCGUAGAUCAUGAUAUCUGCACAAUCUCAAUCUACUUCCUCUGACCAUUUAUUGUAUUAAUGGGUUGUGUCAGGGUUAUUUUAUCAACUACUGGGUUGUUGAUCUACAUUACGGUUUAAUUCUUACACGAAUUAAUGUUGACUCGAUUCUCUGUAGUAGGUUGAGAGGCUUCUCCUCUCAUGAUUUACUCUGAUUAGUUUGCCUGGCUCCGUGCUCCUCAUGAUU